Molecule: long non-coding RNA, 534 nt
Filed under: Homo sapiens (human)
Lineage: Eukaryota; Metazoa; Chordata; Mammalia; Primates; Hominidae
Description: HSALNT0330447
Source: RNAcentral
AGAUCAUGCAGGACCCUGAAGAUAACAGAAAGGGCUCUUCAUUCUGUUAUUUUCAGUAAGAUGGAAGAGAAUUUGGGGGUUAAAGGUGAGGACUGGCAUGGCCUAAAGUGUGUUUUAAUAGGAUCACUGUGACUUCUGUGCUAAAAGCAGACUGCAAGGGACAGAAGCUGAAGCAGGAGGAGGGAAAAUAGAGAAGAGUAAGAAAAAGUGAUGGAGGAAGGAAGAGGAAAAGAAGCAAGGAUCCAAAAUGCAAAUGUGGGACAUUUUAGAAGAGCAGAACGUUGCAUUUCAGCCUUCCUGUCUGAUAUAACCCAUCUGGUGACUGCAUUCAAAAGAGCCCUACCAAGAAUAUUUUCAUGGAGUUAUUUUUCCACUGUGUAUUUCACACUUCAUCUUUGCAGGAGAAUGGAUGGAUUUACUUGGCACGUAGCAGGGGACAGUCUGUGGAAAGAAGUGAGAAGGAUAAUCCAAUAGCAAAAGUGAGGGGUGAUGAAGAGUGAAAGGAUGCCACCAUGAGGAGACCCCAUGGAUGGA